RNAcentral lists this ribosomal RNA (136 nucleotides) under uncultured bacterium. Its description in RNAcentral is "partial 16S ribosomal RNA". It matches the Rfam family "Bacterial small subunit ribosomal RNA", at positions 355 to 507 of the family's 1533-position model. The record is from RNAcentral.
UGGGGAAUAUUGCGCAAUGGGGGAAACCCUGACGCAGCAACGCCGCGUGGAGGAAGAAGGUCUUCGGAUUGUAAACUCCUGUCUUUUGGGACGAAGAAUGACGGUACCAAAGGAGGAAGCCACGGCUAACUACGUG